This 1155-nucleotide long non-coding RNA is filed under the name Equus caballus (horse). RNAcentral describes it as "lncRNA (ENSECAG00000043844.1)". The record is from RNAcentral. Lineage: Eukaryota; Metazoa; Chordata; Mammalia; Perissodactyla; Equidae.
UCCUCUCUCACCAGCUGCCUCCCAGCCUCCCCAACCCCCUCCAUCCGGCCGGUAGUAGCAGAAGACGCCCGUGGCCUGACCUCGACCCUCUCGCUCCCACCCGCCUGGCCUGCGGUCCUUCCCUCCCUGGGGCCUGUGGGCGCACAGCUGGCCUCGCCGCACUCCCCCGGCACGCCCGGAGCCCGGCCCGGAGCGCACAGCUGAGGGCGGCCGAGUCAGGACGCUUCUCCUACGUUCCACCUCUGCACCGACCGGGUGGGGAGCAGGGCCUUGACUGCAGGAGUAAGGGCGGAGGCGCAGCGCAUCCGUGUGGUUCUCCACCCCAAGCCCUUGGGGGAACCUACGGCGCGCGCUCGCGGGUCGCCCGGGACCGGAGCGAAUCAACUUGGAAAACCAAAAAGCAGCUUCUGAGGCACGGGAGCCCCAUCUUCUGGAAUUUUCCCCACACUCUUUCUCUACUGGAGUGAUGGGUUCCUUCCCCGGACAGUAUUCGUUCUGUCCCCUUGUCACCCGUCAUGUCAUCUUUGGCUGGAACGGGCUCAGACAAAGAAUGCUGAAGGAAUGGAUGAAUGAUGAAGCAAUGAGCCAGGUAGCAGUGGUUGGAGAAUUCUGUUUCGCUCCAUUUGACUUACCUCCAUGGAGGCAGCGCUUUGGGGAAUGGGGAAUUACGGUCCCCUUUUAAAAAGAUCUGAAUAGUUCAAAAUCACAGGGAAACCAGUUCAUAGUCCUCUUUUCAUUCAAAGAUGCUGUAUUCCAGUCAUCUUACACCCAGGAUACAGGUCAGAGAAAGGUCAGUUAAACCUUCUAGUCCAUUCCUUGGCCUCCAGGUAGAAAUGAAAAGUGGGAUGCUGCCCAAACUGUCAGAGACGUGGGGACCGCUUCCCGGAGGAGGUUGAGGCGAAGGGUCCAGAUGCCUGAUGGCUGAUUAAGGCUGCGCCUCCCCCUGCCGUGCCUGUGGGCUUCCUGGCGCCCUCCUGCCACAGCCUCUCCUUCUAGGACCUCACAGCGCCCCCGCUUGACUUCCCGUGGGACCCGGGAUCCAAGCCUGGGUUCAGGGGUUGCCCCAGUCCUGAGGCUUGCUCAAGUCAUCAUUGGAGACGAUGAAUGGAAAAAGACGUUUGUAAACUGUCGGGUGCCGAGGCCCCGGCGGGUGGU